CAAUAGCGUAUAUUAAAGUUGUUGCAGUUAAAAAGCUCGUAGUUGGAUUUCUGGUGGGAGCGAUCGGUCUGGCGCUUAGCGCGAGUACUUGCAUCGUCUCCGGCCAUCCUUGGGGAGAGUCUGUCUGGCAUUAGGUUGUCGGGCAGAGGAUCCUCAUCGUUUACUGUGAAAAAAUUAGAGUGUUCAAAGCAGGCUUAUGCCGUUGAAUAUAUUAGCAUGGAAUAAUAAGAUAGGACUUUGGUACUAUUUUGUUGGUUUGCGCACCAAAGUAAUGAUUAAUAGGGACAGUUGGGGGUAUUCGUAUUCCGUUGUCAGAGGUGAAAUUCUUGGAUUUACGAAAGACGAACUACUGCGAAAGCAUUUACCAAGGAUGUUUUCAUUAA
This 383-nucleotide ribosomal RNA is filed under the name uncultured eukaryote. Its description in RNAcentral is "partial 18S ribosomal RNA". It matches the Rfam family "Eukaryotic small subunit ribosomal RNA", at positions 592 to 976 of the family's 1831-position model. The record is from RNAcentral.